ACAUGACUCUCGGCAACGGAUAUCUCGGCUCUCGCAUCGAUGAAGAACGUAGCGAAAUGCGAUACCUGGUGUGAAUUGCAGAAUCCCGCGAACCAUCGAGUCUUUGAACGCAAGUUGCGCCCGAGGCCACUCGGCCGAGGGCACGCCUGCCUGGGCGUCACGC
RNAcentral lists this ribosomal RNA (163 nucleotides) under Triticum aestivum (bread wheat). RNAcentral describes it as "5.8S ribosomal RNA". It matches the Rfam family "5.8S ribosomal RNA". Rfam says of the family: 5.8S ribosomal RNA (5.8S rRNA) is a component of the large subunit of the eukaryotic ribosome. The record is from RNAcentral. Lineage: Eukaryota; Viridiplantae; Streptophyta; Magnoliopsida; Poales; Poaceae.